UACGUAGGGGGCAAGCGUUGUCCGGAUUUAUUGGGCGUAAAGAGCUCGUAGGUGGUUCGGUAAGUCGGAUGUGAAAUCUCCAGGCUCAACCUGGAGGGGUCAUUCGAUACUGCCGUGACUAGAGUUCGGUAGGGGAGUGUGGAAUUCCUGGUGUAGCGGUGAAAUGCGCAGAUAUCAGGAGGAACACCAAUGGCGAAGGCAGCUCGCUGGGACGGUACUGAUGCUGAGACGCGAAAGCGUGGGGAGCAAACAGG
This 254-nucleotide ribosomal RNA is filed under the name uncultured bacterium. RNAcentral describes it as "partial 16S ribosomal RNA". It matches the Rfam family "Bacterial small subunit ribosomal RNA", at positions 524 to 776 of the family's 1533-position model. The record is from RNAcentral.